RNAcentral lists this non-coding RNA (24 nucleotides) under Cricetulus griseus (Chinese hamster). The record is from RNAcentral. Lineage: Eukaryota; Metazoa; Chordata; Mammalia; Rodentia; Cricetidae.
AAAAGGAGAGAAGGACAUUCCUGG